This 535-nucleotide ribosomal RNA is filed under the name uncultured bacterium. RNAcentral describes it as "bacterial SSU rRNA". It matches the Rfam family "Bacterial small subunit ribosomal RNA", at positions 774 to 1306 of the family's 1533-position model. The record is from RNAcentral.
AGUAAAUAGAUACCCAGGUAGUCCACGCCCUAAACGAUGGAUACUAGGCGUAAGAGGUAUCGACCCCUCUUGUGCCGCAGCUAAACGCAUUAAGUAUCCCGCCUGGGGAGUACGGCCGCAAGGUUGAGACUCAAAUGAAUUGACGGGGACCCGCACAAGCGGUGGAGCAUGUGGAUUAAUUCGAUACUAACCGAAGAACCUUACCCAGACUUGACAUCGAUCGCAAGCCUUAGAAAUAGGGCCCUCCCCCACAAGGGGACGUGAAGACACUUGUUGCAUGGCUGUCGUCAGCUCGUGCCGUGAGGUGUACGGUUAAGUCCGCCAACGAGCGCAACCCUCGUCCUGUGUUACCAGCAUGAAAGAUGGGAACUCACAGGAGACCGCCGGUGUAAAUCGGAGGAAGGUGGGGAUGACGUCAAGUCAGCAUGGCAGUUACGUCUGGGGCUUCACACAUGCUACAAUGGGCGAAACAGAGGGCCGCAAUACCGUGAGGUGGAGCAAAUCCCAAAAUACGCCCCAGUUCAGAUUGCAGUCU